UACGUAGGGUGCAAGCGUUAAUCGGAAUUACUGGGCGUAAAGCGUGCGCAGGCGGUUAUGUAAGACAGGGGUAAAAUCCCCGGGCUUAACCUGGGAACUGCAUUUGUGACUGCAUAGCUAGAGUACGGUAGAGGGGGAUGGAAUUCCGCGUGUAGCAGUGAAAUGCGUAGAUAUGCGGAGGAACACCGAUGGCGAAGGCAAUCCCCUGGACCUGUACUGACGCUCAUGCACGAAAGCGUGGGGAGCAAACAGG
RNAcentral lists this ribosomal RNA (253 nucleotides) under uncultured bacterium. RNAcentral's name for it is "partial 16S ribosomal RNA". It matches the Rfam family "Bacterial small subunit ribosomal RNA", at positions 524 to 776 of the family's 1533-position model. The record is from RNAcentral.